RNAcentral lists this ribosomal RNA (253 nucleotides) under uncultured bacterium. Its description in RNAcentral is "partial 16S ribosomal RNA". It matches the Rfam family "Bacterial small subunit ribosomal RNA", at positions 524 to 776 of the family's 1533-position model. The record is from RNAcentral.
UACGUAGGUGGCGAGCGUUGUCCGGAUUUACUGGGCGUAAAGCGCGCGCAGGCGGGCUGGUCAGUCCGGGGUGAAAUCUCACGGCUCAACCGUGAGCGGUCCCCGGAUACUGCCAGUCUUGAGGUGUCUAGAGGAGAGCGGAAUUCCCGGUGUAGUGGUGGAAUGCGUAGAUAUCGGGAAGAACACCAGUGGCGAAAGCGGCUCUCUGGGGACCACCUGACGCUGAGGCGCGAAAGCGUGGGGAGCAAACAGG